UUUUUCCCAGCUCUAUCCGCCUCCUCCCUUCCUUCAGUAAACCCUCUUUCUCCUUUUCCGCGAGGCGCGAGGUACUUACCCCGAGGGCGCGAGCCUCUGGAGAAGCGGGAGCAGCGGAACACAGCGCUAGACCCCCAACCGAGGGGAGCUGUGGAGAAAGGCUUCUAUGCGCGCUCGCGCACGCGCGCUCGCCGGCCAACUCCGGCCUAAAUUGCCGCGGGCCCCCGCGGGGAAGACUUUUUUUUCUCCUUUCGAACGCGCGCGCGCGCGCGCGCGGGGUCUCGCGCUGGGCUUUUUCCUGCCGGGCGCGCGCCAGUGCGCACGCGCGCUCACUCCCCUUGCCUUGGUCAGUCCGCUGGGCGCGGGGUUGGGGAGCUAACCGUUUUGUUGGCCGAGUCCUCCCGCAGUAUCCCCAGGGUCGCUCCUCUGGCGCUCCUAUUCUAGGUCUGGCCCUUCACAUAGCUUCGGAGUGCCGCCACACACGCCGUACCCGUCCCUUGUCUGGAGCCCAGUCGUCGCAGCUCUCAAAAAGCAGCAGUGGCUAAGCUGUUCGGAUUCCUACCGGUUUUUAAACAACAGUCCUGAGGAAGACCAGCAGAUAAUCGACGUGAUGACUUCUCCCAGACUCAUCCCCCUGUGGAAGGACUUUAAAUACCUUCUAAGUGACAUGAUACAGAAAAGCACGGUAAUGUAUAUGUAGGACAGACAUGUUAUUGGUCCCUGUCUGUCAGAAAAGUUAUGAGCCUUUCAGAGGAGCAUAGAUCACCUAUGGAAAGAGGAAGCAGGCAGGGAAGAUCAUAAGGACAACUAUCCCCAUAGCAGGAAGUGGGCCAUCAACUUCCAAGUGAGCCUAGAGACCUCUUGCUGGGACAUUUUGAUAGUGAGAGGUGAACACUUUGGAGCACUGUCAGAAGAACUCACCCUCUGGGAAGAGAGAUUUUUCUAGACGAGAAGGAAGAAGGUACCAGAGAGAACAUUUGCCAACCUCAGGUUUGCUGUGACUUGACUCUGUAGAAGGAUGCCAGGUGCAUGUUUCAUAGCACAUGCUCUGUCACCAUGGGAUCAUAUAUACACAUGUGUAUAUGUGUGUGUGUAUAGAUAGGUUAUUGUCCUCUGUCAAAUUUAAAGGCCAGGUAGCAUGUCCUGAAAGUCUUACUUAGUGCAAUUUUAGGCUUUAAUAAAGCUGCACUAACUUUUGGGACACCCUGUUACUUUACCUGUGGGCAUAUGGCAGUGUACUUGCCUUUAUAAUCUGUUAAAUGUUUCUCUCAUGACAUGUGUACCCUAUUAGACACAAGGGAAAAUGUUCAAGGACAGGUAUAGCUAACUUCACAUUGGAAGGAAUAUCAGUUUCCCCUGAUGCCCACAUAGACCCUACAGUGGUUUGGUUCACCCUUGUGUUGAGGGUUUUGUUCCAUGCUUGUGUAGUGCAGGUGUCCACAGGUGAUAAACUGCAUGUGUGGGUGUCACAGGAGUGAUCCUUGGGGCUGAGGCAGAAAUUUGACAAUGGUUUCGAUUGUGACUUGCGUGAGAAUAUAUUUAGUGUAUGUGUGUUCCUGGUCUCUGAGUUUAAUGCCAUGCCUCUUCCCAGCAAAAUUUAGAUGACCUGAAGACUGAUGUAGUUGUGUUGAGUGACCGGUCCCAGAUCCUAUUCAAAGAGUCUCGCUAUCCUCAAAACAUGCCGCUUAUAUGCUACUACUUCAGUGACGCCCACUUCUUUUCUUCCCUCUCUUGGGUGACAACAAGCACAAAAGAAAUACAGGUAAAACUCCCCAGUCUUUCUUCUCCUUAGCCCAUUCUAAGUGGGGGCCAUGCCUAUGUAACUUCUGACCCUAGAUUAAUCCAGGAAGAUAUACCCCUUGAGUGAACAUGAUCUGGACCCAGGAGUCCUCCUUCAUCCUUUCUCCAGUUACCAUCUCCAUGUUGAGUAAAUAUUAUUCUUUUCCUAAAGUAGGCCAAGGUUAGGGAAAGAGUCCUAGGUUUCCUGAUUUUACAGUAUUUCCACUUCCUCAAACCAGUGGGUAAAGUCACUCUAGGAUCUUCCAACUUCUCCUUAGCAAGAGAAAAAUAGCUGACUACUCUGCCCUUUGCUCUUCUACUAUCUACCCGAGAUACUUUCCAUCUUAUUC
This 2129-nucleotide long non-coding RNA is filed under the name Cervus hanglu yarkandensis (Yarkand deer). Its description in RNAcentral is "lncRNA (ENSCHYG00000011535.1)". Lineage: Eukaryota; Metazoa; Chordata; Mammalia; Artiodactyla; Cervidae. The record is from RNAcentral.